Daphnia pulicaria is the source of this 663-nucleotide long non-coding RNA. RefSeq lists it as uncharacterized. The record is from RefSeq and is a predicted model, not a curated record. The transcript is spliced from 3 exons. NCBI's taxonomy places the organism in Eukaryota, Metazoa, Arthropoda, Branchiopoda, Diplostraca, Daphniidae.
GUUUUAUCAUUCGUCGUCUGCUUCGUUCUCGCAUGGCUGUCUCCGAAGCGUGCUGGUUGUUCGUAAUCUCCGAAUGACGAAUGUCUUUUCAAUUCUAAACUACCUGACUGAAAGAAGUUUGAAUCUUUUGUUGGAUUGGUGGAGUACAUGUGGUGAAUCCAGAACAGAAAAUGAAGAUUGCCUUGAUGGGGAUUCACACCAUUUAUAGAUUCCCUGAUUGAAAGAAGUUUCGAAUAUUUGUGUUGGAGUUGUGGAGUACCUGUGGUGAUUCCAGAACAGAAAAUGGAAAAUGAGAUUGCCUUAAUCACCAUACAAACCCCAUGUCACUGACAAUGUCUAUUUUUUUAGCAAAAUUUCUUAAUACUUGUUAUGUUGACUCUUUUAUUUAUUAAGUAUUUGAACUAGAGAGGAAGAGGAAAACUGCCAUGCAUGAUAGUCUUACUUUAAAUUUCAUUCUCUUGGUGGGGGGAAGGACAACCUAUUUUCGGAUUUUAUUCUUUUACAUCAUUUACGUGAGUUUUUGUAAGAACUGCAAUCUUUCUGUAUACCGAAUUUUAAUCAAUCAUAAUCGAAAGACUCGGGGGAAGGAGGUGAUAAAGCGGAUGGAUGCUUUAAAAUUAGUUCGGUUUUAAUCUUAGAGAAUGAAAAUAAAUAAAAUUGUAA